UACGUAGGGGCAAGCGUUAUCCGGAUUUAUUGGGUUUAAAGGGUGCGCAGGCGGAAGAUUAAGUCGGUGGUGAAAUUUUGCAGCUCAACUGUAAAAGUGCCAUUGAUACUGGUUUUCUUGAGUGUGGAUGAAGUAGGCGGAAUUUGUGGUGUAGCGGUGAAAUGCAUAGAUAUCACGAGGAACUCCGAUUGCGCAGGCAGCUUACUAAACCAUAACUGACGCUCAGGCACGAAGGCGUGGGGAUCAAACAGGAUUAGAUACCCCGGUA
RNAcentral lists this ribosomal RNA (268 nucleotides) under uncultured prokaryote. RNAcentral's name for it is "partial 16S ribosomal RNA". It matches the Rfam family "Bacterial small subunit ribosomal RNA", at positions 524 to 792 of the family's 1533-position model. The record is from RNAcentral.